UACGUAGGGUGCAAGCGUUGUCCGGAAUUAUUGGGCGUAAAGAGCUCGUAGGCGGUUUGUCGCGUCGGCUGUGAAAUCCCGGAGCUCAACUCCGGGUCUGCAGUCGAUACGGGCGGACUUGAGUACUGCAGGGGAGACUGGAAUUCCUGGUGUAGCGGUGAAAUGCGCAGAUAUCAGGAGGAACACCGAUGGCGAAGGCACUCUACUGGGCCACUACUGACACUGAGAGACGAAAGCUAGGGGAGCAAAUGGG
Molecule: ribosomal RNA, 253 nt
Filed under: uncultured bacterium
Lineage: Bacteria
Description: partial 16S ribosomal RNA
Rfam family: Bacterial small subunit ribosomal RNA
Source: RNAcentral